AUGGCUCCCAAAAACUCAGCUGUCUUCCUCCUUGGGCUUCUUCUCUCAUGCGUAGCCAUGAGUGGUGUGGCGAGAAUCCUUGAGGAGACCGUUCCGUCCAAGGAAGAGCACCAGAAUGAGGUGCCACAUAUUCCCAAGGUAGAGCUUCCACUGUUCCCGGAGGUACACCUGCCACCUAAGCCUGAGCUUCCCAAGGUGGAGCUGCCGCCGGUCCCGGAGGUGCACCUGGCACCUAAGCCUGAGCUUCCCAAGGUGGAGCUGCCGCCGGUCCCUGAGGUGCACUUGCCACCCAAGCCGGAGCUGCCCAAGGUGGAGCUUCCACCAAAGCCCGAGAUGCCCACUGUUCCCAUGUUCCACUUCCCAAAGCCGGAGGCCAAGCCAUGA
RNAcentral lists this ribosomal RNA (384 nucleotides) under Triticum aestivum (bread wheat). Its description in RNAcentral is "partial small subunit ribosomal RNA". Lineage: Eukaryota; Viridiplantae; Streptophyta; Magnoliopsida; Poales; Poaceae. The record is from RNAcentral.